This is a long non-coding RNA of Oncorhynchus gorbuscha (pink salmon), 1110 nucleotides long. RefSeq lists it as uncharacterized. The record is from RefSeq and is a predicted model, not a curated record. The transcript has 7 exons. Lineage: Eukaryota; Metazoa; Chordata; Actinopteri; Salmoniformes; Salmonidae.
AGGGUCUUCUGCUCUUGGGCUUACAGAUGGACCAGAUUCCAUGACCAUCCUGGGCCGACACAUCGCUGAGGUGGAGUCAUUCACCCUUAUUUACUGCUCUGUUCAGUCUGUACCGCCUGCUACGUUCACCUGGUUGUUCAAUGGGCAGCAGACAGGUGUACAUGAAGCUGGAUACAUCAUAAGGAGCGUCAGCUACAACAACAGUGGGGACUACAGAUGUGAUGCUCGAAUGAUCUCACCGGAAAUGUUAUCAGUGUGGACCAUAGUCUGUCAGUGAAAGAUAAAACCCCUCCACCCCUAAGCCCAGAGGGAGCAGCAGGUAUAGCAGUCGCUGUGAUGUUGGUAGUGGUUGCUGUAGCUCUUGGUCUCUAUUUCGGCAUAACUCAUCAACGGAACAAUUCCACAAAUACUACUGAGACAGGAACCAGCCUUGCACCUGACACCAGCCAUGGACCAGAAGCUAAAGGUGGUCGUGUGUAUGAGAAUGUAGGACCUCCAUUACCACCUCCAAGAGGCUCCAACAUAUACAACAGAAGUUUAAAGUGAGCAGCUGAUUUCAACUAAUCUUGCACAGUUGGAGAUGGAUUCACCCAUCAAGUUUUACACCGUAAUCAAAGAAAUGCAGAGAGGGCAAACAUUCACUGGAGGACCAGCCAAGAAGACGAGAAACUAGACCCUACUGGACUCCUCUACUGAGUAGACACUGGUCUUUGUACUGUACAGCUCAGCCAUCCAGCUAUGUAUACAGUACUUGCUCAAUGUAAAUAUGGAAUAGGCAACUAUAGAGGACAAAUUAUAUCCUCUUAAAUUGCACACACCAGUUGAGGUCUGACUAAUUGGAAUCAGCUUUCUCUGGUCAGUGUCAUCAAUAGGGGCGUUUUCAGAGAAACCUCCCCUACUGAAACACAUUUCGCAACAGGUAACAGCAACUUUUUUUUCCACUGAAAGGACAAAGAUGAGAGGCAGUUUGCGUAAUCCUGUUAUGCUUGCUGAAUCCUCACAAACCUAGGGAGGACUAGACUGCCUAUGUGGCUCUGGCCAAAAGAAGUGCACUAUAUAGUAUGUGAAAUAUUAACUGAAAUUCCAAUAAAAGAAUGGUGUUAAAUGUUG